UCCGGUUUAUCACCGGCGGUCUCCUUAGAGUCCCCGACUUUACUCGCUGGUAACUAAGGACAAGGGUUGCGCUCGUUACGGGACUUAACCCAACAUCUCACGACACGAGCUGACGACAGCCAUGCAGCACCUGUCUCACGGUUCCCGAAGGCACAACCGCAUCUCUGCAGUCUUCCGUGGAUUCAAGAGUAGGUAAGGUUCUUCGCGUAGCAUCGAAUUAAUCCACAUAAUCCACCGCUUGUGCGGGUCCCCGUCAAUUCCUUUGAGUUUUAGCCUUGCGGCCGUACUCCCCAGGCGGUCAACUUCACGCGUUAGCUUCGUUACCAAGGGAUUACUCCCCCGACAACCAGUUGACAUCGUUUAGGGCGUGGACUAC
RNAcentral lists this unclassified non-coding RNA (376 nucleotides) under uncultured Gammaproteobacteria bacterium. Its description in RNAcentral is "contains 16S-23S intergenic spacer region". Lineage: Bacteria; Pseudomonadati; Pseudomonadota; Gammaproteobacteria. The record is from RNAcentral.